Molecule: ribosomal RNA, 1481 nt
Filed under: uncultured bacterium
Lineage: Bacteria
Description: 16S ribosomal RNA
Rfam family: Bacterial small subunit ribosomal RNA
Source: RNAcentral
CUCAGGAUGAACGCUAGCGACAGGCCUAACACAUGCAAGUCGAGGGGCAUCGGGGCGAGGAGCAAUCCUUGCCGCCGGCGACCGGCGCACGGGUGAGUAACGCGUAUGCGACCUGCCCGUUGCAGGGGGAUAAUCGGGAGAAAUCCCGUCUAAUACCGCGUAAUGCCGCGGGGCUGCAUGGCCCUGCGGCCAAAGGGAGCGAUUCCGGCAACGGAUGGGCAUGCGUGACAUUAGCUAGUUGGCGGGGCAACGGCCCACCAAGGCGACGAUGUCUAGGGGUUCUGAGAGGAAGGUCCCCCACACUGGUACUGAGACACGGACCAGACUCCUACGGGAGGCAGCAGUGAGGAAUAUUGGUCAAUGGGCGCGAGCCUGAACCAGCCAAGUCGCGUGAGGGAUGACGGCCCUACGGGUUGUAAACCUCUUUUGUCGGGGAGCAAAUUCCGCCACGUGUGGCGGAGUCGAGAGUACCCGAAGAAAAAGCAUCGGCUAACUCCGUGCCAGCAGCCGCGGUAAUACGGAGGAUGCGAGCGUUAUCCGGAUUUAUUGGGUUUAAAGGGUGCGUAGGCGGACUGUCAAGUCAGCGGUAAAAUACGGGGGCUCAACCUCCGCCCGCCGUUGAAACUGACGGUCUUGAGUGGGCGAGAAGUAUGCGGAAUGCGUGGUGUAGCGGUGAAAUGCAUAGAUAUCACGCAGAACUCCGAUUGCGAAGGCAGCAUACCGGCGCCCGACUGACGCUGAAGCACGAAAGCGUGGGUAUCGAACAGGAUUAGAUACCCUGGUAGUCCACGCAGUAAACGAUGAAUACUAGCUGUCCGGGGCGAAUGAGCCCUGGGUGGCACAGCGAAAGCGUUAAGUAUUCCACCUGGGGAGUACGCCGGCAACGGUGAAACUCAAAGGAAUUGACGGGGGCCCGCACAAGCGGAGGAACAUGUGGUUUAAUUCGAUGAUACGCGAGGAACCUUACCCGGGCUCAAACGACACAGGAACGUACCUGAAAGGGUUCGGCUCUACGGAGCCUGUGUCGAGGUGCUGCAUGGUUGUCGUCAGCUCGUGCCGUGAGGUGUCGGCUUAAGUGCCAUAACGAGCGCAACCCCCAUCGACAGUUGCUAACAGGUCAGGCUGAGGACUCUGUCGAGACUGCCGGCGCAAGCUGCGAGGAAGGCGGGGAUGACGUCAAAUCAGCACGGCCCUUACGUCCGGGGCGACACACGUGUUACAAUGGCAGGUACAGCGGGAAGCCACCUGGCGACAGGGAGCGGAACCCGAAAGCCUGUCUCAGUUCGGAUUGGAGUCUGCAACCCGACUCCAUGAAGCUGGAUUCGCUAGUAAUCGCGCAUCAGCCACGGCGCGGUGAAUACGUUCCCGGGCCUUGUACACACCGCCCGUCAAGCCAUGGAAGCCGGGGGUGCCUGAAGUGCGCUGCCGCGAGGAGCGCCCUAGGGUAAAACCGGUGACUGGGGCUAAGUCGUAACAAGGUA